RNAcentral lists this long non-coding RNA (473 nucleotides) under Bos taurus (domestic cattle). Its description in RNAcentral is "long non-coding RNA NONBTAT009170". The record is from RNAcentral. Lineage: Eukaryota; Metazoa; Chordata; Mammalia; Artiodactyla; Bovidae.
GAGGCUUUCAGCGAGCAGAGAGGCGAGAGAGGCACGUGAUUGUCAGACAAGCAAGGCUGGGACUAGGCAGCAUUGUUUGCAAUUCAAUGACUUUUGAAGCUGAGGAAACGUGAGUCAUCCUCAAGACAGACCGGGUUUGUUAGAUCUUGACAUCACUGGUAGGAGCCAGGUGGUGUUUGCAGUGGGCACUGGGCUAGGAGGGAAGAUCCUGGGGUGACGAGGCAGUGGCCUGACUUCCUGGACGGGGUCCAACCCCUGCCCUGUGUCCUAGGAGCCUUGAAGAAAGACAUCUCCGGAGAUGGAAGGGCCUUGGUGUCUCUCAGCACUGCUGUGGGGCUCCAGUCACAGCUGCUGAUGGGAGAGGCUCCUUUCCCAGGCCAUGAUGGCAGGGCAGUGCCUCACACUCCUAGAUAAGGCGGAGUUAAGAUUGCCAAAUUGGGCUUUUCUGGGAUGGGGACUACAAGCUCCCUUUA